UCACACAGCCGUACCCGUGCUUGUGGAGUGAAUCGAAGAUGGCCGCGUCGACGUUGAGUUUGAUGCCUGAGACCGGUUUAACCCACUGCUCUGUACCGUCUCCAACUUUGAAAGGAGACAUCGAGGGAAUAUUACCCUUUCCUUGAGCAUUCAACCAUUGAUCAAGACUCGAUUUCGCAAACGUUACCACAUCUUUCACACUUCUCACACGGUUCUUCCAUACAAGGUCAUUCCUGGCUGCCCAAAUGGCCCAACAGAGCAUUACUACUCUGCCCAACUCCUCUUUGUCAACUCGUCUUGCAGUAGCUUCCAACCACACCAGCAGGGAAGAAAAUAAAUCCCUUCCAACCGCAGCCAAACCAGCAUACCCGAAACAAGACCAAGCAAAAUGACAAGAAACCAAUACAUGCCAUUCCGUUUCAGCAAAAACACCACAAAAAGGACAAGAGCUAUCAACCAGUACCUAAAAAAAUAAAAGAGUGUGAAACACUUGGGAGAUUGAGUGUUGUUUCAAGAUACCUAAAGAGGGUAAAAAUAAAAGAGACAAUAUAAAAAAUGUAUAGAGCUCGAUUAAAUGAGUGAAACUUAGGGAUUAGAAAGAGUGUGAAACACUUGGGAGAUUGAGUGUUGUUUCGUUGAUGCUCGACUCUGUUGUAUUUUGAAGAUUGUUUGAAUAAAUAAAGAGAAAGAUAUGUGGUUCCGAAACGAGAAUAGGGACAAAGCUGACAUCGAACAUGUAUAAAUACUUUAUUUAUUUUCGGUUCCUUAAUUGUUUGAUUAAUGUUUUUUAACUUCUGCUUUAAUUGUGUUCGUUUAAGUGUUGUAGUUGAAUUUUGAUAUUGAUGCUACUUGUAUAUAAAAUUUCUGCAGAUAAGUGGAAAUUUCAUACAAAAGAAAUUUCAUGCACUAAAUGAAUGUGAAAAACAUCACGUAGAGUUGAUGAGAUUGUCAUGAAAAAAUUGUUUGAUAUCAUAGGCUCAUAGCAAUAAUCAUUAACAUAACAAAAAUGCAAUGAUAAGAGUAAAACUGUGGAAGGAAUAUCAGAAUUUUUGAUAGAUCAAUGAACGUAACAAAAAAUAAUUUCAAUAAGACUGAUAAAUUGUUUCCAUGUUUUGAAAUAUUUUAUUAAAUCUUUAAGGGAAAUUUAAUUUUAUAUAAAAUUGAUUAUCUAAAUUAAAGUUAGUGUGUAUGGUAUUGUGAGCCACUUUUACAAUACAUCCUCAAAGUACCCUUCUCAUUUAAAAAACCCAAAAACAAAUCUCGAGCGCUCGUUCUCACCCAACGAACCACCAAAGACCACCCCAAAAUUUCACCAAUGGCACCACCAAUUCAAAUCGAAAUCUUGCCCACGAUCGAGACCAACUCACACGAAGGUUUUCAACUUCCCACGUCCAAGACCCACGAAGAUUAGUGACGGAGACCCAGAGACCCUCGAUGAUAGCGUCGAUUGCCUAAUUAGAGACCUAGAGACCCGCAACCCACGUCGGAGACCCACUUGGGAUUGGCCUUUAGAGAUUCAUGAUUUAGAAACCUAAUAGCGAACCAGAGAUGAUUUGAAGAAGGAAAUGAGAGGUCUACCCAAAAAUAUCUAAGGGAUGAAGUUUUUAAGUAAUUUUUUGCAUAAUCUUAGUUGAAAAUAGUAUUGUGUACUUUCAUAUGUUAGAUUAGGUUUGUUUUAGCACAAGAAAAAUUGAAUAUGUGAUAAUAGUGGUGAAUUUUGUGUUUCUGUGAUUUUUUUUUGGGUUUUGUAUUGGUACGAUGGUGUCCAAUAUAGGAACAAUAUAGGUUCGAUAGUCUCAUAUUUAGAAAAUCAAUCACAUGUUAGGCAUGAUUGGAUGAUAGGGUACGAUGUAAGUUAGACAAGGGUAUGAUUAUUGUUCCAAGUUUAAAACGAUAGUUUGAUAUAUGGUACAAUGUGGGUCCGAUAAUAUUUUAUGUUUCAUUUUUGGUACAGGCACGAUAGGGCACGACAUUGUGUCCAAUAGCCGUAUUUUUUUUAGUUUUUGAUUUAUAAUUAUGGGACAAUAUAGGUUUGAUUGUUGGUUUGAUGGUUUUGCCCAAUUUUAAUAAUUUGUUCAUUGUCAUUUGUGUCCGAUAGUAGUAUGAUAUGAGGAAGAUAUUUUCUUGGUACUUUUAUUCAGAAUGUUUAACUUGUAUUUUUUAAAAUUUUCUUUGCAAAACGUAAGACCUCCAAAGCUUUUAGUUUUAGUGUUAGACCAUUACUCGAGAUAUAUCACUUGAGGGUGGAAAUUUUUACUAUUCAAAGAUAAAAGAUAAAUUUAAGGACUGCGAUUUAUUGGAAAGGGUGAAGAGAUCUCCCUUCGAACAGUUCUUCAUUAGAGAGCAAUUAAAUUUUUCUGGUGCACUGAUCCAUUAGUUGUUUUUUCAUAAGAUUAGAUCUGAAAAGCCAGAUGAAGUCCACUUUUACAUUACGAAGAAAAAAUGUAAAUUAGCCAAGCUGAGUUUGCUUUGGUGAUUGGAUUGAAUUUUUUACCAAGACCGAUUGAAAAAAAGAUUAAAGAGAAGACAACCUCAAACUAGUUGAUUGUUGAGUAUUUCAAUGGUAGUACACCUAUCAUCUUUGGACAAUUACGCAGAAUGUUUGACAGUUGCACUGUAGUUGAUGAUGAGUUCAAGCUGGGACUGGCCUUGUUUGUUAUGGGUGUGCUGACUGGCCGUGAGGAGAAGACUAUCGUUCUAGCUUAUGCAAUGAGAAUGGUGAACGACCUUGAGUUCUUUUACCAGUACCCGUGGGGAAAGAUAUCGUUUCAGAAGUUGAUGUAAACUUGCAAUAAAGAUUUUAAAGAAAUGAAGAAGCAUUUGGAUAAGAAAAUUGAGAAGAAGAGAUCCAUUCAGAAGGAGGCAAAGUAUUCCACAUAUAGGUUUGCUGCAAUAUUGCAGUAUUGAGCUUAUGAGUCCAUUCUAGAGCUGAGUAUUGAUUUUGGUGUCAAGAAUUCGCAUGCCUUUCCAAGAAUAGUGAUCUGGGAGAAAAAUAGCAACGUUGAGAUGAACAAGGAAAUUAAAAAAUUAUUUGCGAGAAAUUUGUCAGUGUACUCCAUAUUAUGUUGUUGACCUACUGAAGAAGAAUAUUUGAGGACCGUUAAUGGAGCUAAGGUGACAUUGUUUGUGGACAUGGAGCAACUGGUGGUGGGCAAUGAAGGACAACCUACACAAGAAGCUAUGCGAAGCCAGACGGAGAAGCUUGUAGAGAAGUUGGUAGAGUAGGCGAAGGAAGCCAUAUUUUUUAAAGAGGAUUCAUGUAACGUCCUUGCUUGAAGCCUCCAUUGGACUUUCCUCCAUAUACUAAUGUCUCUUAUACAUGAGUACGUUACUCUAACUGCUUCCUAGAAUAACGAUUAGCCCUGUAAACUAACACGAGUAUAUCUAGCAUGCUUUGUCCUCACUCGCACACUUCUUGAGAAAACUUCCUAAGAGGUCACCAUGCCAAGAUUACUCCAGGUCAAAGCACACUUAACUUUGGAGUUCUCAAGUGAUGGGUCACCAGAAAACAAGAUGCACCUUAUUGAUAUAGGUAGUACCAAUCAAUCCAUUUAAGCCCUUUUUAACUAUGUAGUCCCAUACUUACACAGUCUCAGAAUCAUCACACUUGACCUUCCCCAGACAAUGUGGGAUUACACAACUCACCUAGUAUAUUUCUCUUUACUAAUCACAGAUAUUGACUUUAAAAACUCACCACCUCCACCAUCUCCACCACUAGAGGCACAUGAGGUUCCCCCUACAAUAUCUUAUCCUAGCACCUCAAAGGUUGAGCAAGCAAGAUACUUUGCUAUCUUCUCGAGGUUGAAGAAUGUUGAAAGGGAAUAGAGUGCUCUUUUGUAAGGCCAAGUUGAGAUUAUGGGUUAGUUCAAGACCCUAAUGACACUCAUGGAAGAGCUUAAACGACCAACUUCAGAGCCACAAUCACAGCCUCAGACUCCUGAAGAUGAAACCAUUCUUCUGAAUGAUUACAUACCAGAUGAUCCAGAUGAUGUAUUCUAUACACUUAAGAAUAUGAAGAUUACUAAUAUUGAAGAUACUCAGGAUUAUGAGUUCGAAGUGUUGAACAUAACUCCAUCAAGGUAACUUAAUUAGAAAUUCAUGUUUAUUGAGUAACUUGAUUAAAUUAUACAUAAAUUAUGUUAUGUUUUAUUUAAUCAGUGUUGAUUUACUAAUACAACGACAAUUGCAGAAUGUAUACAAUAAAGCAUAUUGAGCAUAAAAUUCUUUAACAACCUUUUGACAAUGUAAUUGAUCACAACAUGAAGCGGUUUAGAAAGAGAUGGUGUGCAGAAUUAUUCUACUAAAACUUAGCAUGAACUUUGGAUUUUUUAUUUUCUAUUUGGAACAAUGUACCUAUAAUAUAUUGUAAAUUGUUACUAGAAAAGUUAUAUUUCUUUUCUCUGGUAGUAGAAGCAUCAGGCAUAUGUCGUACCCAUAUCGUUCUAUAUCGGGCUAGAAAAAACAAGAAAAUUGAAUUAAAUAUCAGACCCCUUCGUCUGCUUUAUCA
Long non-coding RNA from Cannabis sativa, 4507 nucleotides. RefSeq lists it as uncharacterized. The transcript is spliced from 2 exons. Lineage: Eukaryota; Viridiplantae; Streptophyta; Magnoliopsida; Rosales; Cannabaceae. The record is from RefSeq and is a predicted model, not a curated record.